RNAcentral lists this ribosomal RNA (3432 nucleotides) under human oral metagenome. RNAcentral describes it as "bacterial LSU rRNA". It matches the Rfam family "Bacterial large subunit ribosomal RNA". The record is from RNAcentral.
GUAAGCUACUAAGAGCGAACGGUGGAUGCCUUGGCUAGUAGAGGCGAUGAAAGACGUGCCAGACUGCGAUAAGUCUCGGGGAGCCGUCAAGGGGCUUUGAUCCGGGAAUUUCUGAAUGGGGCAACCCAAUACAUAGCGAUAUGUGUUACCAUUAAUGGAGCCAACGCGGGGAACUGAAACAUCUAAGUACCCACAGGAAGAGAAAUCAAUAGAGAUUACGCUAGUAGCGGCGAGCGAACGCGUAAGAGGGCAAACCACUAGUUUACUAGUGGGGUUGUAGGACUGCAACAUAGACUAGGAUCUGAUAAUAGAACAAUCUGGAAAGGUUAGGCAUAGAGGGUGAUACUCCCGUAUAUGAAAUCACAUCCUUACUUAGCGGUAUCCUGAGUAGGACGGGACACGUGAAAUCCUGUCUGAAGCCGGGUCGACCACGAUCCAACCCUAAAUACUACUACUAGACCGAUAGCGUACAAGUACCGUGAGGGAAAGGUGAAAAGAACGGCGGUGAGCCGAGUGAAAUAGAACCUGAAACCGUUUGCUUACAAUCAUUCAGAGCACUAUGCUAUACUCUUUAAAAUUAAUCCAGCUUGGCUUUUUAGCCCUUUUUUAUGAAACUGCGACUGCGGCAGCCAGAUACGGCUAGCCUUGCCUUGUUUCAUAAAAAAUCAUCUAAAAAUCCUGCGCAUUUGAAAUUCUAAAUUUUGAUCUGAUAAAAUUUAAUCAUAAAUGACACAAACAAAAUUUUAUAGUCUAAAUUUAGAGAUAACGAUUAGCGAUUAGUUUUAAUGAGUAUAGCAGUGUGAUGGACUGCCUUUUGCAUAAUGAGCCUGCGAGUUGUGGUGUCUGGCGAGGUUAAGGAAACCCGGAGCCGUAGCGAAAGCGAGUCUUAAUAGGGCGAUUAGUCAGAUGCUGCAGACCCGAAACGAUGUGAUCUAUCCAUGAGCAGGUUGAAGCCGGUGUAAGAGCCGGUGGAGGACCCAACCGACGGCCGUUGAAAAGGCUCCGGAUGACUUGUGGAUAGGGGUGAAAGGCCAAUCAAACAUCGUGAUAGCUGGUUCUCUCCGAAAUAUAUUGAGGUAUAGCGUCGUGUAGUAGUUAUAAGGGGUAGAGCACUGAAUGGGCUAGGGCAUACACCAAUGUACCAAACCCUAUCAAACUCCGAAUACUUAUAGCGUAACCACGGCAGUCAGGCGGCGAGUGAUAAAAUCCGUCGUCAAGAGGGAAACAACCCGGACUAACAGCUAAGGUCCCCAAAUCUCAUUUAAGUGGAAAACGAUGUGAAGUUACUGAAACAACCAGGAGGUUGGCUUAGAAGCAGCCAUCCUUUAAAGAUAGCGUAAUAGCUCACUGGUCUAGUGAUUUUGCGCGGAAAAUAUAACGGGGCUAAAAUGAGUACCGAAGCUUUAGACUUGCACUUAAUCAUUUAUACUUGGCUUAGCUUUUGAGCGUCUUUAAAUGAGCUCGUAAAAAUAAAUGCUCACGAACUAUAUGUUCGCUCCGCUUUAUUUUUACAUCGCAACAUUUAAAUCCAUCUCAAAACAAGCGAAGCGCUUUUUGCGGAAGCAAAAAUGUUUCUUUGAAAAAUCCUGCGCCAUCUUGAGUUCAAAUUUGAACUAAAUAUCUUGAUCUAAAUUUUAUAAAUCUCAAAAUUUCUUAGAAUUUUAAAAUUUAGCAACAAAAAGCAAAAAGACAAGCCUAAGAAAAGUAUAAAUCAUUAAGUGCAAGUGGUAGGAGAGCGUUCCAAUCAGCGUCGAAGCCGUACCGGUAAGGAGCGGUGGAGCGGUUGGAAGUGAGCAUGCAGGCAUGAGUAGCGAUAAAAUACGUGAGAAUCGUAUUCGCCGUAAACCCAAGGUUUCCUACGCGAUGCUCGUCAUCGUAGGGUUAGUCGGGUCCUAAGCAAAGUCCGAAAGGGGUAUGCGAUGGAAAAUCGGUUAAUAUUCCGAUACCGAUAUCAGUGUGCGACGGAAGGACGCUUAAAGUUAGUGGAGCUAGCGGAUGGAAGUGCUAGUCUAAGGAAGUAGGUUGAGUUAUAGGCAAAUCCGUAACUCUUUAUCCGAGAUCUCAAAGGCUUCUGACGCUCUUCGGAGUAGAUGAAGAAUCCAUGAUACUAUCGAGCCGAGAAAAGUUUCUAAGUUUAGCUGAUAUCGCCCGUACCGUAAACCGACACAGGUGGGUGGGAUGAGUAUUCUAAGGCGCGUGGAAGAACUCUCUUUAAGGAACUCUGCAAAAUAGCACCGUAUCUUCGGUAUAAGGUGUGCCUAGCUUCGUUAAGAAUUUACUUCGUAAGCGAAGAAGGUUACAACAAAGAGUCCCUCCCGACUGUUUACCAUAAACACAGCACUCUGCUAACUCGUAAGAGGAUGUAUAGGGUGUGACGCCUGCCCGGUGCUCGAAGGUUAAUUGAUGAUGUUAGCUUACGCAAAGCAUCUGAUCGAAGCCCGAGUAAACGGCGGCCGUAACUAUAACGGUCCUAAGGUAGCGAAAUUCCUUGUCGGUUAAAUACCGACCUGCAUGAAUGGCGUAACGAGAUGGGAGCUGUCUCAAAGAGGGAUCCAGUGAAAUUGUAGUGGAGGUGAAAAUUCCUCCUACCCGCGGCAAGACGGAAAGACCCCGUGGACCUUUACUAUAGCUUGACACUGCUACUUGGAUAAAGAUGCGCAGGAUAGGUGGGAGGCUUUGAUUCGUAGAUCUCGGUUUACGAUGAGCCAUUGUUGAGAUACCACUCUUCUUUAUUCGGGUAGCUAACUAGCCUAAGUUAUCCUUAGGUAGGACAAUGUCUGGUGGGUAGUUUGACUGGGGCGGUCGCCUCCCAAAAUGUAACGGAGGCUUACAAAGGUUGGCUCAAAGCGGUUGGAAAUCGCUUGCAGAGUAUAAAGGCAAAAGCCAGCUUAACUGCGAGACAUACACGUCGAGCAGAGACGAAAGUCGGUCUUAGUGAUCCGGUGGUUCUGUGUGGAAGGGCCAUCGCUCAAAGGAUAAAAGGUACCCCGGGGAUAACAGGCUGAUCUCCCCCAAGAGCUCACAUCGACGGGGAGGUUUGGCACCUCGAUGUCGGCUCAUCGCAUCCUGGGGCUGUAGUCGGUCCCAAGGGUUGGGCUGUUCGCCCAUUAAAGCGGUACGCGAGCUGGGUUCAGAACGUCGUGAGACAGUUCGGUCCCUAUCUGCCGUGGGCGUAAGAAGAUUGAGGAGAGUUGACCCUAGUACGAGAGGACCGGGUUGAACCGACCACUGGUGUACCGGUUGUUCUGCCAAGAGCACCGCCGGGUAGCUAAGUCGGGAUGCGAUAAGAGCUGAAAGCAUCUAAGCUCGAAGCCGACUCCAAGAUGAAUCUUCUUUUAAGAGCUCUAGUAGACUACUAGUUUGAUAGGCCGGAUGUGUAAUGGAUGAAAGUCCUUUAGCUGACCGGUACUAAUAGCUCGUUUGCUUAUCUUU